Long non-coding RNA from Mauremys reevesii (Reeves's turtle), 2196 nucleotides. RefSeq lists it as uncharacterized. The record is from RefSeq and is a predicted model, not a curated record. The transcript has 4 exons. Lineage: Eukaryota; Metazoa; Chordata; Testudines; Geoemydidae.
GGGGGAACACAGCCAGGGCAGGACAAAGAUUUCAGAGGACUAUCUGGCAGAGAGAACUCUCCGCAGAGGGGCCAGCAGCACUUCAAGAAACCAAUUGUUAUGCAGAGGAAGUUUCCCCAGAACUCGGGAUUUCAGCAGGAUCAUGCUCUUGGGCAGUGCUGCCAGCUGAUGGGGUCUGCUCAUCCGGCACAGCUCAUCUCAGCAUGAGGAGAGAGACCACUGCUGUCAGUCCAAGGAGGUUUGGAUGCCAGGCAGUGACAGGGAGCUGCCCUGGAGCAUGGCCGAGGAGUCUGUCAGGAAUUCACAGAUCCUGCAGAGCGGGGAACGUGACACCAUGACAAGCAGGGGGGGAACAUUUUGGAAUGUACAUCUCUGGCAUUUUGAAAGACGCUCCAGCCUGUCUGUGCCAAAGGGGGCAGCCAAACGCCCGCCUGCCCAUGAUGCUUGCGGCUCAUCCUCCGAGGGGAGCCGAUGGCCCAGAACACUUCCCUGGUAUUUGCUCAGCUCAUUUAAUGAGAACCAGCCCUCUCGCUGCCUGGGACAUGGUGGCCGAACGGUGCAGAACCUGGGUCUGGAUGCAGCACUGGGGCCCGGGCUUUGAAGCUUCAGCUGCUGCUGCCGGUAUGGAGCAAACAGAACCCUUUGAAGUCUCGUUGGUUUCGACAGCUCUUCAUUACAGCACACACUAACGAUCGGCUGAUUCUGUGAAUUUGAACUUCUUAGGGCGGCUUUUUAACCAGGACGACUGCCUUCAAAAGGGCCCUGUCAAGAGAAUGUUCAUUUCUGGUAUCAUUGGUGGCUACAACCGGACAUCUGUGGUGAAGGAGAGGUGACAUCCAUUUUUCUUGCCCAUCUUUCGGGUGUGUUCCAGUCCCACAUCUCUCUUUCAGUUAUGCAAAUGAGGAUCAACAACAAAACAGUGGCAUGAAUCUUCAGGGCAAGGCCAACCAUCUGUCAAAACCAGUUUAUUUGAAGACUGAACAUCUGACAUGGUCCCUUUAAGUAAAAUAUAAACUCUGGCUGCAAUGUUCCAAUACUUUAGUAGCAGGCAAGGCCCUACUUGCCUGACUGAGUUGUUCUUUCAGCUGUUCCUCUGUGAGACCCAGUGAUCGCAUUCCUCUGGCCCUGCAUGCACUCUGCAGUUCGGAUACACUUAGCACAUUAACACCUUCCUUAGCAAUCAUCUGAAAGGAAAAGGAACAUUCACAUGCAGGCCUCCAGAAGCCCAAACCCUAGUUUAUUCAUGAAGUCUGGUACUGAAGAGAUGCCUGUUUGCAUUGGAGGGGAGUAGAGAAUAAACAAAGGAAAACCUACUGAUACCAAAACUGGGAUUCAGCAGACAUCCCGUCUGUGACGGCCUAGCUGCAUGCCGAACAGCUAAAGGCAUGGGAUAACCUUGGGCCUGAUCCUCCAAACACUUACUUACACAUGAGUAACUGCACUCUUGUGUGUGGCCCUACUGAACUGUAAUGCAACCACUCACAGGGUAAAGUAGCUCACAUGCAUAAGGAUUUUCAGGAUUGGGCCUUUAUUUGUAAAAAUGGACCUAUCGUUCCAUAUGCUUAAGUCAAAGGUAGCCAGGGACCACUUAGAAAUUAUGCUGUGACACAACUAAUUAACAAAAAGCCUCCAGAUACUUCAUUUGAGUCUCAUGGUAGUGCCAGAUUUCCUCAUUUAUCAUGCUCCCAAGAUUGGACAGCAACAGGAAUGAGUUUGGCAUCAGUGCACUCUAAAUUCAGAUUGCUAGUUACAUAAUAGAAAUGGCCCAAAGUUUCUAUAGAACUAAGUAUGAUAAAAUUGAAGUAGUAUAAGAGAUGGGGCUCCGCAAUCAUUCAUUGCUACAGGCUACUGAGAUCCUAGGAGGCCUCCUUCUUAAUAGCAAGAGAGUUUCCUCUGAGAUGCUCCUUGGUAGAGCUGAUAGAAGGUACUGGAGGGCUGAACUGCCAACACUCUACUUCCUUAGAGUCUCUCAUGGGAUAAUCCUCCUCUUACAAAUAGUAAGAUCACCCCUCUCCCUGUUAAUGUGGGCAGCAGCAUACCUAGAAUAUCAGAUAGGCAAACUGCAGCUCAGAGAAAGGAAGUGACUUGCAGAAUCAGAACUAGAACCCAGGUCUCCUGUACUAACUAUUAGAUCACACCGCAUCUGUGCUAUUUGUUUUAGUCUCUUACUUCAUCAUCUGCUUUUAUAGACCUGAG